GUUUUCUGGUGAGGUCCCAUCCCAAACAGAAAGCCUUUUCUCUCGCUUCCUGUCUAGGAGUGUUUCAGGGACCAGCCAAAGAGAACUCUGCCAACCCAGAGCCCAAGAAUACCCCACUGCUCUAAGCUACAAUUCUGCAACUCCUCAUGUGGGUGCAAGCUUCCUUAUAGAGUCAGGCGAUUGGGCCAUCUGCCUCAGAAUUGUCUACACAGAUCAGCAGCAGCUCCUCAGGUUUUCAAGCCUGGGCAAUACAGUUGUACCUUGGAAGUCGAUCAGAAUCCGUUCCAGAAAUCCGUUCAACUUCCAGAACGUUUGACUUCCAAAAUCCGGCUUCUGAUUGGCUGCAGGAAGUGCCCAUCGUGGUAAAGGUUUCAUAAUAUUCAACAUUAUUAUUAUUAUUAUUAUUAAUAUACCGCCUUAUACCUGGAGGUCUCGGGGUGGUUCACAGAACAAGAUCAACAUAAAACACUACAGUAUAUAUAAUCAAAAUAAAAGCAACAACCCAAUAACCCCCCCCACACACACACACAAAAAGGAGGCACAUUUUAAAGGGCAUAGAAUGUAAAUCAGGUCAACCAAAGGCCUGGUUAAAAAGGAACAUUUUUGCUUGGCACCUAAAGGUGUAUAAUGAAGCUGCCAGGCAAACUUCCCUGGGGAGAGCAUUCCACAGACAGGGAGCCACUGCAGAGAAGGCCUGUUCUCGUGUUGCGACACCCCCCCCCCCAGACCUUUCAAGGAGGAGGCACAUGAAGAAGGGCCUCAGAAGAUGAACUCAGGGUCCGGGUAGGUUCAUAUGGUCCUGAGCGGUUUAAAGCUUUAUAGGGGAAAACCAGCGCUUUGAACAUGGCAAUAUAUCACGAAUCAUGAUGUAUGCGUGUGUAAAAAAAUUGUGAUAUGGGGGAAACCAUGAAGCCAGUUACCUCUCCUCUCAUUAUUCCUUCUGCCCCUGUUGCUCUGUACUAUAAAAUAACAUUUGUAACAAUAUGUUAUAGGUAAGUAAAAUUGUAUCAGUUUUAGACCCCUAAGUAGCAGGUUCCGGGGCAUUACCCCAUUCACUUCUACAUAGUUACACCCUUAUUUCAGACAUCGUGAUAUAUUGAUAUAUCAUGAUGUUUAGUUGUGGGUAUAUCCCAAUGUUGAAGGCCAUACAUCGCUCCGCUCUAACAGACAUCAUGAUAGAUAAUUUAAAACAUAGCAAGGAGGUUGCAUUCCCUCACCGCAUCUCGAGUCGGCCAUGGGAGAGGGUUAGGUCGGUGAGCAGAGGAAGAGGCUUUCAGGUCAGAGAGCGCUUUUCCAGGUACGCACACAUUUCUUUCCCCCAUCACCAACGCCUCUUGUUUUGGAAAUUAGGAACCAUUUCCCGAGACGUUUGUGGUCACUGGAGGCUCUGUGCCGAAUCCAAUUGUUUUGUUUGACUGGCAGUGGCUGGUGGCCAGAGGCAGCUGCUCCCCCUCUCCACCCCCGCAGCCAGAGGCCAACACGGAGGAAUUGCACAACACAAACUUGAUCUGUAUUUUCCACUGUUUUUUGCCUGGCAAAACAGUCUUCCUCCUCCCCCUCCCCUUUCCCCCUUUUCUCCUCCGUACAGCUGUUUUCCAUCUAUGUUCAGGAAACAUACAUCUUUUUUCUUUCCUUUUUUUUUAUAAAACCCCUCUCUCCCUCUGUUUUGUGCCUCUUGGGUCCCUCUUUAUGAGAAAAAUCUCAUCCAGGAUGUUGGGGGGUGGGGAGAUUGGCGGGGUGCGGCGGGGGCAGUCUAUGCCAUGAGGAAGUAGCUGCGAAAUAACUUUAGGUUCCUGGAGGCGAUGAUGCCAAGGGGCUGCCUCUAUCCGCAAAGGCCCAGGUGAGCCAGAGGUCACAAAAGCUCCGGUGCAGAGCAACAGUCUGUUAGGAUGCUGGAAGGCCGAUGGCAUGCAAGCGUCCACCUUCUCCCUGCUGUUUCCCCUCCAAGCUAUCUUUCAACAGCAUCCCAUCUCGAGUGGAGCAAAUGGUGUGCGUUUUCUCUCUCCUUCCCCUCUUCCCCCAAACUUUCCCAAGCUGUAAAACUCUGUGGGAAGGACAAGAGCUCAAGGCAAGACGUAAGCACUUGCGCUAUCUGCAAAGGCCUCACCUAUCUGGACUGCUUCCUCCUGAGAGGUGGUCAAGGCUGUGUAGGGAUGUGUGUGUGUGAGUCUGUCAAUGGAAGCUGGGUGUCAGAAGAUUCAGGAGAGAUAAAAGAAAGGACUUAUUCACACAGAGCUGUAAUAAACAAAAUCUGCCCUUAUUCCCUUAUGGGGGACACAAGAGCCCUUAUUGAGUCCGUUGUAGGUUCCUUAUAGAGUCCAUUGUAGGAGAAAAUAACAGAGGCCAACCAGAGAAUAUUGAGAAGCAAAGCAGAUAGUAAGCCUGAUCUUUAUUGAACUGUUGCAACAGGGUGCUCCCCUCACACGCAGCAGGAGGAGGAGGACCCAGAACCAAACUGUACCUGCCCUUACAUAAAGGUAAAGGUAAAGGGACCCCUGACCAUUAGGUCCAGUUGUGGCCGACUCUGGGGUUGCGGAGCUCAUCUCGCUUUAUUGGCCGAGGGAGCCGGUGUACAGCUUCCAGGUCAUGUGGCCAGCAUGACUAAACCGCUUCUGGCGAACCAGAGCGGCGCACAGAAACACCGUUUACCUUCCCGCCGGAGCGGUACCUAUUUAUCUACUUGCAUUUUGACAUGCUUUCGAACUGCUAGGUUGGCAGGAGCAGGGACCGAGUAAUGGGAGCUCACCCCAUGGUGGGGAUUUAAACCGCCAACCUUCUGAUCGGCAAGCCCUAGGCUCUGUGGUUUAACCCACAGUGCCACCCGCAUCCCUUACUUGCCCUUACUUUAAAGUGCCUUCCCUGGAGCUCAAGACCACCCCCCACAAACAUCAUACCUACAUCACAGAAAAGGUGGUCUGCAACAGAAAUUUGAAUGUUGUUGUUUUUCCUAUCUGUCAGUUUAUCGGAUAAUGCCUUAUCUGAUUGCGUUUCCUGGUAGUCUGGCCAUUCCUUUGAGAUGGUGAUUUCCCAAUUCCUGAGACAGCGGGAAGGUUCCCUCACCCCCUCC
RNAcentral lists this long non-coding RNA (3067 nucleotides) under Podarcis lilfordi (Lilford's wall lizard). The record is from RNAcentral. Lineage: Eukaryota; Metazoa; Chordata; Lepidosauria; Squamata; Lacertidae.